Molecule: unclassified non-coding RNA, 395 nt
Filed under: soil metagenome
Description: partial contains 5.8S ribosomal RNA, internal transcribed spacer 2, and large subunit ribosomal RNA
Rfam family: 5.8S ribosomal RNA (bases 1-122)
Source: RNAcentral
GAUGAAGAACGCAGCGAAAUGCGAAACUUGGUGUGAAUUGCAGAAUCCCGUGAACCAUCGAGUCUUUGAACGCAAGUUGCGCCCGAAGCCAUCAGGUUGAGGGCACGUCUGCCUGGGCGUCACAUAUCGUUGCCCAAUGCCUAUUGCAGUGCAAUAGGAAUUUCUAGGGCGAAUGAUGGCUUCCCGUGAGCGUUGUUGCCUCGCGGUUGGUUGAAAAUCGAGUCCUUGGUAGGGUGUGCCAUGGUAGAUGGUGGUCGAGUUAGAACGAUACCGAUCAUGUGCAUGCUCCCCAAAAUAUGGCCUCUAUGACCCACACGCGUCUUUUGACGCUCAUGACGAGACCUCAGGUCAGGCGGGGCUACCCGCUGAAUUUAAGCAUAUCAAUAAGCGGAGGA